CCUACGGGUGGCAGCAGUGAGGAAUAUUGGUCAAUGGGCGCGAGCCUGAACCAGCCAAGUAGCGUGAAGGCUGACUGCCCUACGGGUUGUAAACUUCUUUUCUAAAGGAAUAAAGUGAGGCACGUGUGCCUUUUUGUCUGUACUUUAUUAAUAAGGAUCUGCUAACUCCGUGCCAGCAGCCGCGGUAUUACGGAGGAUCCGAGCGUUAUCCGGAUUUAUUGGGUUUAAAGUGAGCGUAGAUGGGUUGUUAAGUCAGUUGGGAAAGUGUGCGGCUCAACCGUAAAAUAGCAAUUGAAACUGGCAGUCUUGAGUACAGAUGAGGUAGGCGGAAUUCGUGGUGUAGCGGUGAAAUGCUUAGAUAUCACGAAGAACACCGAUUGCGAAGGCAGCUUACUAAACUGCCACUGACAUUGAUGCUCGAAAGUGUGGGUAGCAAACAGGAUUAGAUACCCUAGUAGUC
This 460-nucleotide ribosomal RNA is filed under the name uncultured bacterium. RNAcentral describes it as "partial 16S ribosomal RNA". It matches the Rfam family "Bacterial small subunit ribosomal RNA", at positions 338 to 795 of the family's 1533-position model. The record is from RNAcentral.